CAUGUGGAGUCAAUGGACAGGCUGGAACUCCUUUUGAGAUGCUUGGCUGUGGUUUCUCACAUGCUUGCUAUCUACUAAUAAUAGCAAUCCCAAUUAAUUCCAAAGGUUGUGAAUCCCACUUAUGUUGAAAGAUUGUGUCUUUUGAAAAAGAAGUGUAAAGGGUUGUGUCUUUUCUAAAAGUUCUAUGUUGGAAGGUUGUGUCUUUUCCAAUUAAUUUUUAAGGUUGUGAAUCCACUUAUGUUGAAAGGUUGUGUCUUUUGAAAAAGUAGUGUAAAAGGUUGUGUCUUUUCUAAAAGUUCUAUGUUGUAAGGUUGUGUCUUUUCCAAUUAAUUCCUAAAGUUGUGAACUUCAAUUAUGUUGAAAGGUUGUCUUUUGAAAAAUAUGUGUAGAGGGUUGUGUCUUUUCUAAAAG
Molecule: long non-coding RNA, 411 nt
Filed under: Brassica napus (rape)
Lineage: Eukaryota; Viridiplantae; Streptophyta; Magnoliopsida; Brassicales; Brassicaceae
Description: long non-coding RNA (BNAP_LNC001656)
Source: RNAcentral